CAGCAGCCGCGGGAAUACGUAGGUGGCAAGCGUUGUCCGGAAUUAUUGGGCGUAAAGGGCUCGCAGGCGGUUUCUUAAGUCUGAUGUGAAAGCCCCCGGCUCAACCGGGGAGGGUCAUUGGAAACUGGGAAACUUGAGUGCAGAAGAGGAGAGUGGAAUUCCACGUGUAGCGGUGAAAUGCAUAGAGAUGUGGAGGAACACCAGUGGCGAAGGCGACUCUCUGGUCUGUAACUGACGCUGAGGAGCGAAAGCGUGGGGAGCGAACAGGAUUAGAUACCCGAGUAGUCCCUGUCUCUUAUAC
This 301-nucleotide ribosomal RNA is filed under the name uncultured bacterium. RNAcentral's name for it is "partial 16S ribosomal RNA". It matches the Rfam family "Bacterial small subunit ribosomal RNA", at positions 509 to 807 of the family's 1533-position model. The record is from RNAcentral.